RNAcentral lists this long non-coding RNA (1019 nucleotides) under Citrus maxima (pomelo). Its description in RNAcentral is "long non-coding RNA (CMAX_LNC003837)". The record is from RNAcentral. Lineage: Eukaryota; Viridiplantae; Streptophyta; Magnoliopsida; Sapindales; Rutaceae.
GUUUGUGAAUUCAAAGGGGGUGGAACUAUAUGAAUUAAAGAUUGCCUUAGAAAGAUAGAGAAUAUGCAUAGCUUUAAGAGGUACAUCUCUUAAUUGCCUUGAACUCUAUAUUUAUUGUGAAUAUUCUGGAUUAGUAGCUCCAUCAAUACAAUGGCUGAAAUGUUUUAUUAUUCUAGUAGAGUAAUUUGGAAUGAGUUGACACUAAUUGCAUUAUGUUGUAUUAGAUAUUAAAUUUUAUUAUGAAUUUUUUUUAGCUGGAAAAUCAUUGUUUUUUAUAUAAUGAGAAAUAAACACACUUUCUUGAAACUAGAUGUUAUACUAAAAACUUGAAUGCUAUAAUUUGCUAUCUCACUCUCUCUUAUUCAUAUAUAUAUAAGAGAAUGAAUUCAUCAUCACCUUUUUUUUUUUUUUAUAUCUAUAGUUAAAUAUAUUCUACUUUAUUUCCAAUCAAAUGAGUUAGAACAUUCUUAUUCUCUAAUUUUCCUUUAAGAUAAUUGAGUUGAUAUGUUUAUAGCUUAUGAAUUUUUUUGUUUUCGAGCAAAAUAUGUUUAUUUCUAUUCAAUUUUGUCUCUGUAUUGCUUGUUAAUUUCUUUUGCAACUGCUGGAAUUUGGCAACCAAUUUCUUUUCCUUUUUCUUUUAUUUGUUUGUAGAUAUGAUUAAUAUGUUUAAAGUGUUUCUUCUUCAACUUAUAUCCCUAACCCAUCAAAUUCAUCGAAUGAAGAAGUUGUCCGUGAAUGAAGAAGCUGUCUGUGAUAAUGCAUGAUCGCAGUACUUAUGUUCAUGGAGUGAAAAAUAAUAAUCCUUCUAAAUUUAGCUUUUAGAUUUGGUAAAUUUAGCCCUUAAAUUCAGCUACGAGUAGAAGGAAUUUGAUUGGAUAAUAGCAGUUAAGAUUAUUCAAUUAUAAGAAUAAGAUGUCUUGUAAUAAGACGUCUUUGUGUAUUGAAGUAUUUGGAUUGUGUAAUAUAUAUUGAUAAUAUUUAAAUGUUAUGAAAGGUUUUGAUAUAUAAAUUGAUUUUUG